RNAcentral lists this long non-coding RNA (688 nucleotides) under Cyanistes caeruleus (blue tit). RNAcentral describes it as "lncRNA (ENSCCEG00000011293.1)". The record is from RNAcentral. Lineage: Eukaryota; Metazoa; Chordata; Aves; Passeriformes; Paridae.
GUAAGUACCCACAUAGUACUUGGCAUGAGACUGUCCUUGCAAAUUAGAAAUACACCUGCAAAUACAUUUUAGAGAUGCUGAAAUUUCUCACUGCAUGAAGCUGACACAUAUUCAAUCAAUUUAGUAUGUUUUGAAGUCAAGAAAAUGCAAUUGCAGGUUCUUUCUUCUUUUUGUGGUGUUCAUGCCAAAGAACCCAGCUGGGUGAGUUUUGGAACAUGGCACUGUGACACCUCGGGGUCCUAUCUGCAGUGUGCCAGCCACACAGACACCUUGCUUGUCAGUUCUUCCCCCCCACCCCUCAACAGCAGUUGCAGUGUUCACAGCUCCCCACUUCUCAGCUAUGGUUCUUUACAGGACAGGGAAAUGUGUAAAUUCUUCAGCUGGAGAGUUCAUUGUGUCUGCGUCAGUCAGCUGAGUGACUCUGUUGUGAUACUAAUGCAGGUCUGACUCUAGGUUUAAAGCCUGAAUUUAUAUAACUGAAAAACUCGGCACAUUUAUGUUGAGAGAAGUGAGUAAUUUUUGUUUUCUUAAGCUUCACCUGAUUUAAAAGCUUUUCUCCUUCAUUCUAUUUCCCUCCUCUUCUGUUCUUGCGUAUCUGUUUUGACAUGCUACCUCACAAAUAACUGAUCCUCUCUUUCUUCAUAGUAAAGAGUUGUGGUUUUUCAAAAAAUCUGAAGAUGUAUCUCAC